This 1083-nucleotide long non-coding RNA is filed under the name Felis catus (domestic cat). RNAcentral's name for it is "lncRNA (ENSFCAG00000052229.1)". The record is from RNAcentral. Lineage: Eukaryota; Metazoa; Chordata; Mammalia; Carnivora; Felidae.
AUGCCAUUCUGUCUACAAGGAUGCAUUAAAUUUGUAAAUUUGCUUAUGAAGGAUUGUCUUCUUUGUGGAUGGAUUUCCUCUCCGGAACAUGGUGCCUCCAUCUGCUCAAGUCCGUGUGGGGUCUUGAAGGCACACGAGCCUUCCGCACACAGGCUCUCUCACUGUUGGGUUCAUGCAGAGGAGUCUCAUCUAUUUGUUGCUGUUGGAAACAGAGCCUCUCUCCUACCGCGUCCUGUAACAGAGGUGUGUGAAGACAGCCCCCGUCUGAUCUCCCUGCGGUUUCGGACCCUGCUGCUGUCCUGUGCUUCCAGCCUGCCCCAGGAUUGGGUCCAGGGGGUGAGGGAGGAAGCUGGGGCAGGCCCAGCGGGCAAUGAAGACCUGACCGGCAUCGCCUGCCCCCGUCACAGGCACCAGGGCGAGAGGAGGGCAGGCAGGGCUUGGAGGAAGCAGCAUCCUUACAGCCAGCCGACUCCCACCCUGUGCCGCUUCCCUGGGAGGCUGGAUGGGAGGGCCGGGCCAGCUGACUUCAGCCUUCCUCUGGCUCAGCCAUACAUUGUACAGAAAGGGAAACCCAGACCACGGGAGACUGGGUGGCAGAAUCCAGCACUGUGUGCCUGUGGCCUGAGCAGGAGUCGGGCCCCCAUGGGGAGAAUGUCCGUUCAUCAGAAAGCCGGGGGUGCAGACUGCCUGGAGCCGGCCCUGAGGUGGACACACAGCAGCCAGGCCUCUGGGCCCAGGGGGAGCCCGGGAAGGGGCACGGAGGCUGUGGCCGGCAAAGCAAGGGGAGGAGAACGGCCGGGCUGGACUGAGGAGUCGUGCAGGGCGGGACUGCUGAGCAUUUGUUCCUGGUGUGUGUGUGCGUGUGUGCCCGUGACGCCGUGCAUGCACGAAUGUGUCCGUGUGGAGCUCCCUGUCACGGUGCGUGGCAGCAGAGGCCGCCCUAAUCAGGGAGCGUGCCGGGAUGCUUCCGCACUUGUGUUUUCUCACCUGCCUCCUGUCCCGUCCCUGGGCGGCAGGGCAGGGCAGAGGCACCAAGAAAGCAGAUGGGUCACCUCCGUUGCCAUGAAACUUUAUUGGGACUGA